This 216-nucleotide ribosomal RNA is filed under the name Glomeromycotina sp. Its description in RNAcentral is "partial small subunit ribosomal RNA". The stretch from base 40 to 216 matches the Rfam family "Eukaryotic small subunit ribosomal RNA", at positions 686 to 864 of the family's 1831-position model. Lineage: Eukaryota; Fungi; Glomeromycota. The record is from RNAcentral.
GGGUCAGUAGGUUGGUCGUGCCACCGGUCCGUACUGGUCUCACUGAUUCCUCCUUCCUGAAGAACCGUUAUGCCAUUAAUUUGGUGUUGCGGGGAAACAGGACUGUUACUUUGAAAAAAUUAGAGUGUUUAAAGCAAGCUAACGCUUGAAUACAUUAGCAUGGAAUAAUGAAAUAGGACGAUCGAUCCUAUUUUGUUGGUUUCUAGGAUUGACGUA